AUGGAGGAUUCAACUGUAUGGAAGUUCACUAAAGAUGGUAUAUACUCCGCCUCUUCAGCAUACAAGGCACAGUUUGAAGGGCUUACUACUUCAUAUCUGGUACAAUCGGUUUGGAAGGUCUGGGCUCCCCCGCGAUGCAAAUUUUUUGCUUGGCUUGUUCUACAAAAUAGGAUCUGGACGUCUGAUCGCUUAAUUAGGCGGGGUUGGCCCAAUUGUGGUGUAUGCCCUCUAUGCAAGCAAUGCCAGGAAUCUGUGGCUCAUCUCCUCUUCCAAUGCCGAUUCACUCUUCGGGUGUGGAACGACAUUAUUCUGUGGCUUGGAUUGCACCACGUCAACACGGCCACCUGGGCGACGAGGGUCUCGGUGAGAGAUUGGUGGACCAACAACAUACACACUCGGGUUGGAUCUCCCAAGGCGCUGGCCUCUCUGAUGAUGCUCAUCUCAUGGGAGAUUUGGACCGAACGCAAUGCUAGAGUCUUCCGUAACACGGCCGUCCCUUCGAUGGUUCUCAUUUCUAAGAUUAAAGACGAGGUGUCUCUUUGGGCUUUGGCCGGUGCAAAGCAGUUGGGUAUUGUAAUGCCGCGAGAGUAG
RNAcentral lists this ribosomal RNA (591 nucleotides) under Triticum aestivum (bread wheat). Its description in RNAcentral is "partial small subunit ribosomal RNA". The record is from RNAcentral. Lineage: Eukaryota; Viridiplantae; Streptophyta; Magnoliopsida; Poales; Poaceae.